UAAGGAAUAUUGGUCAAUGGGGGCAACCCUGAACCAGCCAUGCCGCGUGCAGGAUGACUGCCCUACGGGUUGUAAACUGCUUUUAUCUAGGAAUAACCCUCGGUACGUGUACCGAGCUGAAUGUACUAGAAGAAUAAGGAUCGGCUAACUCCGUGCCAGCAGCCGCGGUAAUACGGAGGAUCCAAGCGUUAUCCGGAUUUAUUGGGUUUAAAGGGUGCGUAGGCGGCACUUUAAGUCAGGGGUGAAAUACGGCAGCUUAACUGUCGCAGUGCCUUUGAUACUGAAGUGCUUGAAUGCGGUUGAAGACGGCGGAAUGAGACAAGUAGCGGUGAAAUGCAUAGAUAUGUCUCAGAACACCAAUUGCGAAGGCAGCUGUCUAAAGCGUUAUUGACGCUGAUGCACGAAAGCGUGGGGAUCGAACAG
Molecule: ribosomal RNA, 423 nt
Filed under: uncultured bacterium
Lineage: Bacteria
Description: bacterial SSU rRNA
Rfam family: Bacterial small subunit ribosomal RNA
Source: RNAcentral